RNAcentral lists this transfer RNA (69 nucleotides) under Lentipes armatus. RNAcentral's name for it is "tRNA-His". It matches the Rfam family "tRNA". From Rfam's summary of the family: Transfer RNA (tRNA) molecules are approximately 80 nucleotides in length. Their secondary structure includes four short double-helical elements and three loops (D, anti-codon, and T loops). RNAcentral also lists the same sequence under 4 other names. The record is from RNAcentral. Lineage: Eukaryota; Metazoa; Chordata; Actinopteri; Gobiiformes; Gobiidae.
GUAGACAUAGUUUAAUAAAAAUCUUAGAUUGUGAUUCUAAAAAUAGGGGUUAAAACCCUCUUGUCCACC